RNAcentral lists this unclassified non-coding RNA (231 nucleotides) under Hevea brasiliensis (rubber tree). Lineage: Eukaryota; Viridiplantae; Streptophyta; Magnoliopsida; Malpighiales; Euphorbiaceae. The record is from RNAcentral.
GGGGCAUGGGGAGAGUGAAGAUAGGGAGGUGUGCCUGGCGCUAGUUGUCAGCUACACCCAGCCAGUUUUUGAGACCACAGCGACCACUCUUCCAGGUUUAAAAGCUUACUAUCAUCACCUUACCCAUUACCAAACACUCCCUUAACAUGCAGUCAGCCUCACAUGAGCGUCUCUGCUUCUGGGUCUAAUUGCUGCUGUCCUUUUUCACCUCCUAAUGCCUUUUUUCUCCAC